RNAcentral lists this ribosomal RNA (433 nucleotides) under uncultured bacterium. RNAcentral's name for it is "partial 16S ribosomal RNA". It matches the Rfam family "Bacterial small subunit ribosomal RNA", at positions 29 to 507 of the family's 1533-position model. The record is from RNAcentral.
AACGAACGCUGGCGGCAUGCCUAACACAUGCAAGUCGAACGAGACCUUCGGGUCUAGUGGCGCACGGGUGCGUAACGCGUGGGAAGCUGCACUUAGGUUAGGAAUAACUCCCCGUAGGGGGUGCUAAGACCGGAUAACGUCUUCGGACCAAAGAUUCCUGGUGUUUGGAUGGGGGCGGGUUGGAUUAGCGAGUGGGUAGGGGAACAGCCUACCUAGGCGACGAUCCAUAGCUGGGGUGAGCGCAUGAUCAGCCACGCUGGGACUGAGACACGGCCCAGACUCCUACGGGAGGCAGCAGUGGGGAAUAUUGUACGAUGGGCGAAAGCCUGAUCCAGCAAUGCCGCGUGAGUGAGGAAGGCGUUAGGGUUGUAAAGCUCUUUUACCCGGGAUGAUAAUGACAGUACCGGGAGAAUAAGCUCCGGCUAACUCCGUG